GGAGCACAUCUGUUCUGUAUCAUGAUGUUUUAUUGUCGUCGUUGUCGUUUUGAUCCUUUUUUGCUCUUCCCUAUUUUCUUUUCCUUCCUCUUUUUACUUUCUCCCUUCAUGUUCUCUAAUGUUUUGAUUUUUCUCUAAUCUGACUUUGACUCCUGGGUGGACAAAACUGAUGUACUCUAUGAAGCUUUGGAGCUUGUUGCCUGACUGCUGAACGUGAAUUGUUGGUUUUUUAAGCCAAGAUUGCAGGGCAGGAAUAUGGCAAUGCAGAGCGCUCUGGCAGGCAGCCUUUAAGUCUGUCAAGUUUUCAGGUUCUUGCCAGAUUGUUCAUUAUUGGAAAGCAUGGCCUUCUGCUUAAAAUUUUAUCUCUUGUGAAUGGUACCAGGUGGAGCCUAGAAAUUGCAUAGAGCUAAAACCCAAGUAUCGUUCCUGUUUAAAAAGAGAAAAGGAGCUCCUUUCCCUUUUUCAUUCUGCAAAGGAAAAAAAAAAGUUGUUUCCAGCAUGAGAGAAGACUGAGAAGAGACUUCUUUCUCAAGCAUCAUUUCCACUAUGUAAUCUAACUCAGUAAGCUGCA
This 571-nucleotide long non-coding RNA is filed under the name Bos taurus (domestic cattle). Its description in RNAcentral is "long non-coding RNA NONBTAT002803". The record is from RNAcentral. Lineage: Eukaryota; Metazoa; Chordata; Mammalia; Artiodactyla; Bovidae.